CCUACGGGAGGCAGCAGUGAGGAAUUUUCCGCAAUGGGCGAAAGCCUGGCGGAGCAAUACCGCGUGAAGGAUGAAGGCCUAUGGGUCGUAAACUUCUUUUCUCAGAGAAGAAUUUUGACGGUAUCUGAGGAAUAAGCAUCGGCUAACUCUGUGCCAGCAGCCGCGGUAAU
Molecule: ribosomal RNA, 170 nt
Filed under: uncultured bacterium
Lineage: Bacteria
Description: partial 16S ribosomal RNA
Rfam family: Bacterial small subunit ribosomal RNA
Source: RNAcentral